UGCUCCGCUCCAUCGCAUGGUGGGGUGGGAAAUGCUUUUGCGGCAUGGGAUGGGGUCGCGUCCUAUCAGCUUGUUGGCGGGGUGAUGGCCCACCAAGGCGUUGACGGGUAGCCGGCCUGAGAGGGUGACCGGCCACAUUGGGACUGAGAUACGGCCCAGACUCCUACGGGAGGCAGCAGUGGGGAAUAUUGCACGAUGGGCGCAAGCCUGAUGCAGCGACGCCGCGUGCGGGAUGGAGGCCUUCGGGUUGUAAACCGCUUUUGUUCAGGGGCAAGGCACGGUUUCGGCCGUGUUGAGUGGAUUGUUCGAAUAAGCACCGGCUAACUACGUGCCAGCAGCCGCGGUAAUACGUAGGGUGCGAGCGUUAUCCGGAUUUAUUGGGCGUAAAGGGCUCGUAGGCGGUUCGUCGCGCCCGGUGUGAAAGUCCAUCGCCUAACGGUGGAUCUGCGCCGGGUACGGGCGGGCUGGAGUGCGGUAGGGGAGACUGGAAUUCCCGGUGUAACGGUGGAAUGUGUAGAUAUCGGGAAGAACACCAAUGGCGAAGGCAGGUCUCUGGGCCGUCACUGACGCUGAGGAGCGAAAGCGUGGGGAGCGAACAGGAUUAGAUACCCUGGUAGUCCACGCCGUAAACGGUGGAUGCUGGAUGUGGGGCCCUUUCCACGGGUCCCGUGUCGGAGCCAACGCGUUAAGCAUCCCGCCUGGGGAGUACGGCCGCAAGGCUAAAACUCAAAGAAAUUGACGGGGGCCCGCACAAGCGGCGGAGCAUGCGGAUUAAUUCGAUGCAACGCGAAGAACCUUACCUGGGCUUGACAUGUGCCGGAUCGCCGUGGAGACACGGUUUCCCUUCGGAACACCGGUGACAGGUGGUGCAUGGUUGUCGUCAGCUCGUGUCGUGAGAUGUUGGGUUAAGUCCCGCAACGAGCGCAACCCCUAUCUUCAGUAGCCAGCGGUAUGGCCGGGCACUCUGGAGAGACUGCCAGGGAUAACCUGGAGGAAGGUGGGGAUGACGUCAAAUCAUCAUGCCCCUUAUGAUUUGGGCUACACACGUGCUACAUGGCGUAAACAAAGGGAAGCGAGCCUGCGAAGGUAAGCAAAUCCCAAAAAUAACGUCCCAGUUCGGACUGCAGUCUGCAACUCGACUGCACGAAGCUGGAAUCGCUAGUAAUCGCGGAUCAGAAUGC
RNAcentral lists this ribosomal RNA (1181 nucleotides) under uncultured Bifidobacterium sp. RNAcentral's name for it is "bacterial SSU rRNA". It matches the Rfam family "Bacterial small subunit ribosomal RNA", at positions 173 to 1357 of the family's 1533-position model. Lineage: Bacteria; Bacillati; Actinomycetota; Actinomycetes; Bifidobacteriales; Bifidobacteriaceae. The record is from RNAcentral.